GCGCUGCUGAGGGGUCCCAUACUAGGACGAAACGGCCGUCCAGUGC
Non-coding RNA from Schistosoma mattheei, 46 nucleotides. NCBI's taxonomy places the organism in Eukaryota, Metazoa, Platyhelminthes, Trematoda, Strigeidida, Schistosomatidae. The record is from Rfam.